RNAcentral lists this ribosomal RNA (869 nucleotides) under uncultured archaeon. RNAcentral describes it as "bacterial SSU rRNA". It matches the Rfam family "Archaeal small subunit ribosomal RNA", at positions 1 to 872 of the family's 1478-position model. The record is from RNAcentral.
GCCGGUUGAUCCUGCCAGCGGUCACUGCUAUCAGUGUUCGACUAAGCCAUGCGGAGUCAAAUGUUUCUUCGUGAACAUGGCGUACUGCUCAGUAACACGUGGACAACCUGCCCUAAGGUCUGGAAUAACCCCGGGAAACUGGGGAUAAUACCGGAUAGAUCAUAGAUGCUGGAAUGCUCUGUGAUUAAAAGCUCCGGCGCCUUAGGAUGGAUCUGCGGCCUAUCAGGUAGUAGUGGGUGUAAUGUACCUACUAGCCUACGACGGGUACGGGUUGUGAGAGCAAGAGCCCGGAGAUGGAUUCUGAGACAUGAAUCCAGGCCCUACGGGGCGCAGCAGGCGCGAAAACUUUACAAUGCGGGAAACCGUGAUAAGGGGACACCGAGUGCCAGCAUCAUAUGCUGGCUGUCCGGGUGUGUAAAAUACACCUGUUAGCAAGGGCCGGGCAAGACCGGUGCCAGCCGCCGCGGUAACACCGGCGGCCCGAGUGGUGAUCGUGAUUAUUGGGUCUAAAGGGUCCGUAGCCGGUUUGGUCAGUCCUCCGGGAAAUCUGACGGCUUAACCGUUAGGCUUUCGGAGGAUACUGCCAGGCUUGGAACCGGGAGAGGUAAGAGGUACUACAGGGGUAGGAGUGAAAUCUUGUAAUCCCUGUGGGACCACCUGUGGCGAAGGCGUCUUACCAGAACGGGUUCGACGGUGAGGGACGAAAGCUGGGGGCACGAACCGGAUUAGAUACCCGGGUAGUCCCAGCCGUAAACGAUGCUCGCUAGGUGUCAGGCAUGGCGCGACCGUGUCUGGUGCCGCAGGGAAGCCGUGAAGCGAGCCACCUGGGAAGUACGGCCGCAAGGCUGAAACUUAAAGGAAUUGGCGGG